ACCCGGCUGGCUCAGUCAGAAGAGCAGGCGACUCUUGAUCUCAAGGUCGUGGGUUUGAACCCCAUGUUUGGUG
This 73-nucleotide transfer RNA is filed under the name Ailuropoda melanoleuca (giant panda). It matches the Rfam family "tRNA". From Rfam's summary of the family: Transfer RNA (tRNA) molecules are approximately 80 nucleotides in length. Their secondary structure includes four short double-helical elements and three loops (D, anti-codon, and T loops). The record is from Rfam by way of RNAcentral. Lineage: Eukaryota; Metazoa; Chordata; Mammalia; Carnivora; Ursidae.